CAUAAGAUACAGGCUGUGUCAUACUUGACUGCUCAGCUGUUAUAAGCCGCACAUGCCCAGCACCUGAGACACAGCUUUAAGUCAUUUUCAAACACAUUUGAAAAUGACUUAAGAGGAGGAGGGGGAUCAGCAUGAAAGACGUUUGAUUAUUAUGUUAUUAUGGUCCUGAUGCCAUGCAAAAAGCAAUAAUCAAUUAAUCCAGGGUGCAUGACAUGUAAAAAACUAACAUGAUUUCUGCAUUCUCUUGAUGUUAUAGGGGGAUGCCGCUGUUGAUGAGGUUGAGACAUGAUAACAACUGCGACUGCUGCAAUAUAGUUCUCAGCCACCAGCAGCAGCACUGACUGAGGAUGGAAUGAUUCACCAUGGGCUGUACUGACCAUAAUGGAAAGCAACUAAAGACCCUCCUUAUUUUUCUGCGAGAUGGAACAUUUUUCAGAGCAGACUGAUAGUGAAACAAGAGCAUCGUGUCCUUCAGAUGGCAUUCACAGAAUCAACAGUUGAUGGAGACUGCAGUGGAGAACCUGUGUGAGAGUGCAGGGGGAGGGAGAGGAACAACACCAUAGGAAGGUGGGGGUGGCAGAGGCAGGGAUGCAGAGGGAAAUCUCUGUGAGCACUCUUAAACUUCUGCCUGGAAAUAUGCGCACAUGAGUGUACAUGUGUAUUUUCACCUUUUCCAUUCCAAUCGGCCACAAGUCAGCUCAGCUGCCGCUCUCUGCGUUAUGGAUGUCAGAAACCAUGGCUGUUGCCAUGGUGAUGCCACACUGCAAUAUUCUUUUGCAGCUCGCCUGCCUGCCGAUGCUUGCAGCACUUCCAGGCUGGGAAAAACGACAGAGGAGGGAGGGGAAGGAAAAGGAGACAAGAGGAGAGACUCAAGUAGAGGGGUCUGCAGCAGGAUCCAACAGAAUGCUAAUCAUCCUUUCACGACAGUUUGUCCUUCAUUAUGCAGGAGACAAUGCCCAGGACCACAAGAGAGGACGUUAAUGCGUACGUACACACUGAGGCAUACGUACAAACACAUAUCCAUGCAUGAGCGAACACAUACACUCCACAUGUGCAUAUACAGGCUGAGACACACAAACAAGGUCAUUGCAUGAACACACAGACUCACGGUGCAGCAAAUACAGAGAUGAAUAAUCCACACACACUAACACGCUUCAACACACGUGUGUGCAUGGACACUGCAACAUGUGUCAGUACUGCGGGGCUUAAUCUGAUGGCAACCAGCAGUCUGCCCUGCUGCUGAAACAUCCACGCCAUUAACAAAUGCUCAAUUAUUAACGAGCCACAAAAUGGAUCUAAUUGCUCACUGCAGCCCAACAUCUCCAUGAGCAUUCUCAGGAUGUUUCUGGAGCAGCCAGAGUUAUUCCUGCUCAGUAAGCUCUCCGGGAAAAAAAAAAAGAGACACUGAUAUGCACAAUAUUCCCUGUGCUGUCAGGAUUUAGGGGUUAGACCACUGUAAAGAAUAUGGGAAGAGGGGGAGAUGCAAUUACUAUCCUGGCAAACUUGACUUUAAUCUCAAAAUCUUUAUUGAAUUCAGCAGAGACGGUGUUGUGGGUAUGUACAGUCCACACUGAAGUACAGAUCAGAGGCCAGGCCUGGUUUAAAGAGGUUGGGGACAAUGUCAAGGUCACAAGUCAUCUCUGGUGAAAGCACAUCAUCUGCAUACUGUAAUUAAAACUGCGAGCUUGAAGUGAAGUGCAGCCAGAAAAUAAGACUCAGGGGUCACUCUCCUCUCAUUUUAGAGACUCAAAGACUUAACUCCCUGCAUGAUCUCUGGCCCUUCUUUACUUUUAUUUUGGAGGGUAUUAAAUCAGUCAUCUUUUAUGAAGCAUUCCACAAGGAUCUAUUGUCAGCCUCUUGCCCUCUUCGCAGUUUCAUCUUCUUGCUAAUGCUAAUAAAGGAUGCAAAGGGGGAUGCCCUAGUUUUGCUAAUGGUAGCUCAUUAAGCUUAGCUUGCUGGAUUCAGAGCAGAGGGAUCACCCCUGGUGAUGCAGAGGAUUGACUUUGUCCAUGUUUCCACUUGGUUAUAAAGUAUGAGCAAGAUCAUUUUACCCACAGUCUGAACUAUAGCCAGUUAUCCACUUAUAGUAUUAAGAUGUACUUGUAUCUGUGACCAGGGCAUAGAUAUAGGCUGCAUGCAGGAGAACCCUCUUUAGUUAAAUACAUUUCUCUCACAAACACAUGCCAGUAUUGAUGAUCAUUCCACAGCGUGUUCGCACUGAAUAUGUAUCUAAACUAAAAAAGUGACUAAUAUUCCUGUAAACAAUGCAUAAGUACCCUUGUUGGGUCUGAGUCAAUAAGUAAACCCCCCCAGUGUGAUGGUUUACACAAUAAAUGCGGUGGACUAGGCACUGUGGCAGUUCAAUAACACCAUGUUGUCAUUAUUCAUACCCUUGGGUACAGCAGGUAGAUACAGCUCUGUGAACUCAAGGUCAAUGUUACUACCAAUUGUCCACAGUGGGGGAGGGAAAUGGCAAGGUGGGUGGAAGGGAGAUUCUGACAAGACAUGGGGGGGAGAGAGAAAGAGAAAAUGAAAAAUAAAACACACAGAGGGGAGUUGAAAAGGGAGGGGAGAGGUGGUCCAGCGUGAUGUGAGAGCUCACAGGAAACUGGGUAACUAAUGGUCCUUCUCUUUGCGCCAAUUACUGUUAGUCAGUCAGAGCUGGUUUCACUGGCCCUAUGGCCAUCCACCAUGGUCUCACCCUACCCCCAUCCACCCCCAUUCCACCUAAAUGGGUCUUCCAACCAAAAAUAGCACUGUGUUAAAAAACACAAGGGGCUAUGUUGGUGGGGGCGUGUUGCUACAGGUAGCAGGGAGAAAAUUAAAUACGAUCCAUUAAGCCCAGUUUGACUAAUCUGUUGAAUUUCCCUGCAGCAAAAGUUGAGCCAGGUUCAACAUUUUUGUGGGAUGACUCUGUGUUUAUUUUGUUUGGUUGGAUCUUUGCGCGUCAUGACCCCUGCUGUGUCAACACAGCAGCCUUACAGAAAUGAAUGAGGAAGCAGUGUUAUUUGAUGGAGUGAUAAACCAUUGUUCUUUACACAGUGUAACUCUCCUCUGUCUCUCUGAUAAUAUGUUUGUUUCUCUUCCUUAUAUUUUUAAUUACCUUAAAUACAGUGUUUCUCUAUACUGUGUUUCACCCCAGCCUCUCUCUUCUCCUUACCCUAUUUCUGGGUAUUUGGGUUGCCUUCUGGUUUCUGGUCCCACCUGACAAGCAUGGAGGCCCUAGGCACAGAGGAGCUCCAGGCUGCCUCUCCCCUAGCUGAGCCCCAAGGGUCCGCUGCUGCUGGUGCUGGAAAUCUGGCAGGCUGGGCAGGCACAAGGAGCCUCAGCCUCAGCCCAGGCAUGCAGAUCCAUGACCCCAAGGGGAGUGUGCAGACUACUACACAGAGUGGUUAAUAUAUUCACAACACUCCCCUGGCCAGGGGCUUAGAGUCUGAGAAUACUCCAUGAGGACCCAACUGCAUACACUAACAACAUUCACAAAUGAAUAUGUUUGGCAAGGCUUUGCUACACCCUCUUGGCAGGCUUAAAUAUAUAAGUGGCUAUCAUCACAAAGGAAAUACAAAUGUGCAAAGUAUACCUUCAGAAUAUGGCGAAAGGAGCACAAGAAUGUAAAAAAAAAAAAAAAAAAGUCUAGCAAGAUAUCAUGUACAGGUUUCGUCUUCAGGGAACUCCCACAGGAAUCUUUUCAUCAAGGACUGAGACAGAUUAAAAACUCAGAGAGGCUGACCUGCUCCCACUGUUCUUGGAUAAGUACUAUUUAUCACUUCACAAGAUUUUCAUUUAAUCAAAGACAUGAAAAAGUCAAAACUGGGUGCAAGACAGUGUCAGACACCGUUCCAUCCCCUGCAGGACCUGAGCAACAAGCAAGCAAACAACAUCCAUUCAAUACAAUCAAAAGAAGUCUCCAUAAAAAUCCACCAUUAGACCCUGGCUCCACUGCAGUGACCUUCUGAUAACCUCUGUUUAGUAGAAGGGUCAAUGAGGAUCCAUCCAAUGCCGUCAACUUCUAAGGACUUUGGGCUCUUGGGAGGCAGUUAACAGUCUCGUGGCCCACAUACAGAAGUCUAGGGGACUUGAAAGACAACUCAUUAGGGAAAAUCUCCACUUAGCUGUAUCCAUGGUCUGUGGUCUUCAAAGACAGAUGAUUUAAUCUCAGCUGCAGCGGAAUAAUUGCUCCUGCUUGUCGGUUGUUAGCAACAGCAGUAAAGUAAACACAGUCUUUUCUGUUCCAUUGAAUUACUUGUCAGCACAUAAAGGGAAUAAUACAUAGCAAUGUAAAAUAGAUUUUUCACCAAUGCUAUUGUUACUUUAACAAACCCAGUGACAUGGACUUAUCCAGUAAACAGGUAAUACAACAAAACCUAACAGAGGCCUCAAGGUGACAGCAGAUAACAUGUAUUGAUACACUCACAUUCAACAAAACAGAGCUGCAGUGUACUACAUUACUAUCCAUUCAGUGUCACAUGCAGAUACAGUACCCAUCCCAUUUGCACAGUAUCCCUCACUACACCAGCUCAAUCCAUUUUACCAUUACACUGCAUUAGUUGCCCUCGGCUUAAUGCGAGCCCAUAUUUUUUGUGUAACAACUUAAUAGAUUGAGGAACGAAUGAGUUCCACAGCCUCUUAUGUUUAAGCAGUGGAACGCUGAACCAUCUAUUUAACAGCGUGAGCAGAUAUUCUCAAAAAUAAAACAGAAAAAAAGACUAGACCCAAAGCUAUUUUAAUAUAUGCAGCUUGAAAUCUUCCUGACUCAAGCAUUUAACCCUCCAUCUUUAAGCAGUCUAGUGGACACAGUGGUGGUAAGCUGUGCAGAAAGACAGAAGGACAGCUGUACAAAAGAGUAAGGCCAUGCUGCAAAAUAUUUUACACUACAGCAAUAUUGGGAAAAUAACAACUCAAUCUGCCACUUUAGCCAUAAUGACUAAAUCCUCUGAGAAAAUAAAUAUGCAGUUGUGCCUUGCUAAUUCACAGUCUGCAUUCCCUUAAUACCACUGACAGUUAUGGGCUAAUAUGUCACGCUUAACUGAAAACACUCUUCACACACCAUCAACCAAGACACAGUAUGUUCAUUUUAGCCAACUAGGCACACUGCUGGACUAAUUCUGCACCAAUCUUGGGCAAUCUGAGUCUUCUCUAACCAAUCGCAGCAAAGCAGAGUUCAUUUCUACUCUACACCAUGCCACCUCUCCAGCAAGGAGAAAGUGAUGCCAAGUGCCUCUUUUCCAACAGGCCUUGCCAAAGUCUCACAUCCAAGCUGGCAAAUGUCCGGCCAUGGGAUGAGCACAGGAGGCAGCAAUGGCUCACAUCCUGACCCAAAAAUAACAAGCACAACAAAGAUGCUCGCGCUACAGCCCAAGGCGGACAUUUUGUUUUGCCUGAACUCCAAAUAUAGAGGCAAUUUUUAGUGAAAAUCUGUGUCACUGGGAUUCUCCCAGCUGAGGCCAAUCAUGUUAUAUCAACAUAAAAAAAUAA
Lates calcarifer (barramundi perch) is the source of this 5475-nucleotide long non-coding RNA. RefSeq lists it as uncharacterized. NCBI's taxonomy places the organism in Eukaryota, Metazoa, Chordata, Actinopteri, Centropomidae. The transcript has 6 exons. The record is from RefSeq and is a predicted model, not a curated record.